AAUAAGAUCAUUUUUUAGUUUUUUUAUACAAUGUUUUGACUCUUCGUCAUAUUUAAAAUUUUUUUGCGAUUAAUAUUUAAUUCUUACUAGAUGAUAGAACAUAAAUAGUACUUUAUGUGUAACUAACUUUUAUAUGUUUUUUUAUAAAUUUUUAAAUAAGACGAACGGUCAAAUGUUAACACGGAAAAACAAAAAUAAAGUUAUU
RNAcentral lists this microRNA precursor (205 nucleotides) under Oryza brachyantha (malo sina). RNAcentral's name for it is "MIR812 microRNA precursor family". It matches the Rfam family "MIR812 microRNA precursor family". The record is from Rfam by way of RNAcentral. Lineage: Eukaryota; Viridiplantae; Streptophyta; Magnoliopsida; Poales; Poaceae.